UAUAGUUUAUUUGGUGGUUAGUCAUUACAUGGAUAACCAUGGUAAUUCUAGAGCUAAUACAUGCGCUCAGACCCAACUACGCGGAAGGGUUGUGUUUAUUAGGUACAAAACCAACCCAGGCUCUGCUUGGUUUUUUGGUGAUUCAUGAUAACCGAACGAAUCGCAUAGCAACCGCUGGCGAUAAACCAUUCAAGUUUCUGACCUAUCAGCUUCCGACGGUAGGGUAUUGGCCUACCGUGGCUAUGACGGGUAACGGAGAAUUAGGGUUCGAUUCCGGAGAGGGAGCCCGAGAAACGGCUACCACA
RNAcentral lists this ribosomal RNA (305 nucleotides) under uncultured eukaryote. RNAcentral describes it as "SSU rRNA". It matches the Rfam family "Eukaryotic small subunit ribosomal RNA", at positions 111 to 414 of the family's 1831-position model. The record is from RNAcentral.